AACUUUAUAGUCAAAAUAUGAUUUUAGACUGCAAUUCUAAAGGUGUAGAUUCUACUAAGGUUU
Molecule: transfer RNA, 63 nt
Filed under: Ocellarnaca emeiensis
Lineage: Eukaryota; Metazoa; Arthropoda; Insecta; Orthoptera; Gryllacrididae
Description: tRNA-Cys
Rfam family: tRNA
About the family: Transfer RNA (tRNA) molecules are approximately 80 nucleotides in length. Their secondary structure includes four short double-helical elements and three loops (D, anti-codon, and T loops). Further hydrogen bonds mediate the characteristic L-shaped molecular structure. tRNAs have two regions of fundamental functional importance: the anti-codon, which is responsible for specific mRNA codon recognition, and the 3' end, to which the tRNAs corresponding amino acid is attached (by aminoacyl-tRNA synthetases). tRNAs cope with the degeneracy of the genetic code in two manners: having more than one tRNA (with a specific anti-codon) for a particular amino acid; and 'wobble' base-pairing, i.e. permitting non-standard base-pairing at the 3rd anti-codon position.
Source: RNAcentral